UGUUGAGUAUUGACUGCCAUUUUUCCCCUC
This 30-nucleotide non-coding RNA is filed under the name Mus musculus (house mouse). Lineage: Eukaryota; Metazoa; Chordata; Mammalia; Rodentia; Muridae. The record is from RNAcentral.